UUUUGGUGUAAUGAAUUGAAAACAUUUUUGGUUUGAUAUAAGAUUUAGUGCAAGGUUGAAGAUAGUCUAAUGAUUUAACUAUCUGUCAACAACUUUUGGAAGCCAAUGCCAUGUUAGUUGGAUAAGUUGCCAAUAAUUUGUUCCCCUUUUUAGCAUGUCAUCGUGAUCAAAUAACUUAAAGUUUGAUUAGUCAAACACUUGAAUAAACAAAACCUCUAUUGAGAAAUCAUGCAUCCGGCGCAUGUACAAGUUGUUAGUAACAAGAAGCUCAGAAUUGCAUGACAAAUAUCGUCAAAACUCAAUAAAAAAGGAAAUUAAAUGAAGUACUUCCAUAUGUGGUGCGGUAAGGCAUUGCCCUCUUGUGCUAGCAGCCAACUCUAACGUGUCAGCUUAGUUAUCUCAUCAAGUCACUUACUUGAUGUCUAGCUUUCCAAUCGGUAGAACUUUCCUUAGCCCUUUCCACGAAUCUUCCUUGGCUUUAAACUUAAGCUACUACCUGUCACUUUACUUUUUGCGCCUUAAGUUGGAAGAUCCUAUUGAUAGCCUUGACCUGGAUAUGGAAACUAAGCAUGGGAUGCUAAACUCAAAAGAAAAAGAAUGCCACUCAAAGAAUUUGUGUUUUCAUAAGGAGGCCAUUGAAGGCUUUUCACAAAUUAAGAUUUGACUGUAGAAGGAUCGAAUUGUAUCCGAAGAAUGGAGGGAUACAAAAAAAAUUAU
This 717-nucleotide long non-coding RNA is filed under the name Olea europaea subsp. europaea. Lineage: Eukaryota; Viridiplantae; Streptophyta; Magnoliopsida; Lamiales; Oleaceae. The record is from RNAcentral.